Drosophila pseudoobscura is the source of this 1006-nucleotide long non-coding RNA. RefSeq lists it as uncharacterized. NCBI's taxonomy places the organism in Eukaryota, Metazoa, Arthropoda, Insecta, Diptera, Drosophilidae. The record is from RefSeq and is a predicted model, not a curated record. The transcript is spliced from 7 exons.
UUUUUUUUUGAUGUGUAAACUUGCUCAGUGUGACCUGACGCAAACUUUAUUAAUGUUCUUAUUACUAUCUAGCAACAUAUAACAUUAUAUCUGACAACAUUACAAGUUUUGGCAACAUAAGAUUACAUAAAUAUCGAUAACAAUGUGAUUAAGCUCAGGUUAGCCCGCUCGGCCGAGUGGCUGCUGGUCCGGCCACCGAGGAUGCGUUGCCUGUGGAUUGGCUCGAUCAACCGAGUGGCUGCUGGUCCGGCCACCCGGGAUGCGUAUGGGUCUGGAGGAUGUUUUGACUUUUGAUGUGCGGAGAAUUUGGUUUGCUGCAGAUUUGGUUUAUAUUUUGUAGGUUUGGUGGUAAAUUGUCGGCAUUCAAUUGAUUCCCUGGAUGUUGUGUUGGGAUGUCUUCUGGUUGCUUGCUUAGUUGCUGACGUUUUAAAUUUUGUUUUAUUUUCAGGUUUGCUGCAGAUUUGGUUUAUAUUUUAUAGGUUUGGUGGUAAAUUGUCGGCAUUCAAGUUAAGUAAUUUUUGUUUUUAUAUUUGUUGGCUUUUAUUGAAUAUAAUUAUUUUAUUUUCAAGUUGAUUCCCUGGAUGUUGCGUUGGGAUGUCUUCUGGCUGCUUGCUUAGUUGCUGACAUAUGUACAUUUGUUAUGUACUUACAGUUAAUUUCAUACACCAUAUGUGUUUUGUUUAUUUAAAUUUUUAUGUUUAUGUUUUAAAUUUUGUUUUGUUUUCAGGUUUGCUGCAGAUUUGGUAAGCGUUUUGAGUUGUAUUUUGGAUAAAUUUAAUUUUAUUUUAUUUGCAGGUUUUCAUUUUGUAGGUUUGGUGGCAAAUUGUCGGCAUUCCAGUUAAGUAAUUUUUUUGUUUUUAUAUUUGUUGGCUUUUAAUGAAUAUAGUUAUUUUAUUUUCAAGUUGAUUCACUGGAUGUUGCGUUGGGAUGACUUCUGGCUGCUUACUUAGUUGCUGACAUACAUAUGUAAAUUUAUUAUGUACAUACAGCUAAUUUCGUACACCAA